GAUGAACGCUGGCGGCGUGCCUAAUACAUGCAAGUCGAGCGAACAGAUAAGGAGCUUGCUCCUUUGACGUUAGCGGCGGACGGGUGAGUAACACGUGGGUAACCUACCUAUAAGACUGGGAUAACUUCGGGAAACCGGAGCUAAUACCGGAUAAUAUUUCGAACCGCAUGGUUCGAUAGUGAAAGAUGGUUUUGCUAUCACUUAUAGAUGGACCCGCGCCGUAUUAGCUAGUUGGUAAGGUAACGGCUUACCAAGGCGACGAUACGUAGCCGACCUGAGAGGGUGAUAGGCCACACUGGAACUGAGACACGGUCCAGACUCCUACGGGAGGCAGCAGUAGGGAAUCUUCCGCAAUGGGCGAAAGCCUGACGGAGCAACGCCGCGUGAGUGAUGAAGGUCUUCGGAUCGUAAAACUCUGUUAUUAGGGAAGAACAUACGUGUAAGUAACUGUGCACGUCUUGACGGUACCUAAUCAGAAAGCCACGGCUAACUACGUG
Molecule: ribosomal RNA, 497 nt
Filed under: uncultured bacterium
Lineage: Bacteria
Description: partial 16S ribosomal RNA
Rfam family: Bacterial small subunit ribosomal RNA
Source: RNAcentral